CAAACCAAAGCUGGCGACCGGCGCACGGGUGAGUAACACGUAUCCAACCUGCCUCACACUCGGGGGAUAGCCUUUCGAAAGAAAGAUUAAUAUCCGAUAGCAUAUAUUUCCCGCAUGGGUUUUAUGUUAAAGAAAUUCGGUAUGAGAUGGGGAUGCGUUCCAUUAGUUUGUUGGGGGGGUAACGGCCCACCAAGACUACGAUGGAUAGGGGUUCUGAGAGGAAGGUCCCCCACAUUGGAACUGAGACACGGUCCAA
Molecule: ribosomal RNA, 256 nt
Filed under: uncultured bacterium
Lineage: Bacteria
Description: partial 16S ribosomal RNA
Rfam family: Bacterial small subunit ribosomal RNA
Source: RNAcentral